GCCGACUUAGCACAGUUGGUAGUGCAACGCACUCGUAACGCGUAGGUCGGGGGUUCGAGUCCCUUAGUCGGCACCA
RNAcentral lists this transfer RNA (76 nucleotides) under Merdibacter sp. Its description in RNAcentral is "tRNA-Thr". It matches the Rfam family "tRNA". From Rfam's summary of the family: Transfer RNA (tRNA) molecules are approximately 80 nucleotides in length. RNAcentral also lists the same sequence under 1 other name. Lineage: Bacteria; Bacillati; Bacillota; Erysipelotrichia; Erysipelotrichales; Erysipelotrichaceae. The record is from RNAcentral.